RNAcentral lists this ribosomal RNA (216 nucleotides) under Glomeromycotina sp. RNAcentral describes it as "partial small subunit ribosomal RNA". The stretch from base 40 to 216 matches the Rfam family "Eukaryotic small subunit ribosomal RNA", at positions 686 to 864 of the family's 1831-position model. The record is from RNAcentral. Lineage: Eukaryota; Fungi; Glomeromycota.
GGGUCAGUAGGUUGGUCGUGCCAACGGUACGUACUGGUCUCACUGAUUCCUCCUUCCUGAAUAACCGUAAUGCCAUUAAUUUGGUGUUGCGGGGAAACAGGACUGUUACUUUGAAAAAAUUAGAGUGUUUAAAGCAAGCUAACGCUUGAAUACAUUAGCAUGGAAUAAUGAAAUAGGACGAUCGAUCCUAUUUUGCUGGUUUCUAGGAUUGACGUA